AUUGAACGCUGGCGGCAGGCCUAACACAUGCAAGUCGAACGAGUGGCGGACGGGUGAGUAAUGUCUGGGAAACUGCCCGAUGGAGGGGGAUAACUACUGGAAACGGUAGCUAAUACCGCAUAACAUAGGUUGUUCCCAGAUGGGGUGAGCUAGUAGGUGGGGUAACGGCUCACCUAGGCGACGAUCCCUAGCUGGUCUGAGAGGAUGACCGGCAACACUGGAACUGAGACACGGCCCAGAUGCCUACGGGAGGCAGCAGUGGGGAAUAUUGCACAAUGGGCGAAAGCCUGAUGCAGCCAUGCCGCGGGUAUGAAGAAGGCCUUCGGGUUGUAAAGUACUUUCAGCGAGGAGGCGUUACUCGCAGAAGAAGCACCGGCUAACUCCGUGCCAGCCGCCGCGGUAAUUC
Molecule: ribosomal RNA, 406 nt
Filed under: uncultured bacterium
Lineage: Bacteria
Description: partial 16S ribosomal RNA
Rfam family: Bacterial small subunit ribosomal RNA
Source: RNAcentral